Molecule: non-coding RNA, 2117 nt
Organism: Oryza sativa Japonica Group (Japanese rice)
Lineage: Eukaryota; Viridiplantae; Streptophyta; Magnoliopsida; Poales; Poaceae
Source: RefSeq, a predicted model, not a curated record
ACCGCCACAUCGUUGCUCGCGUCGCUUCGUCUCGUCCCGAAAUGGCGGUGGGUUCCUUGCCGCGCGCGCACUGAAUCGAUCGGCCACGUCUCCUCCUCUCCGUUCCGUUGCUCGUACGGCGGCGGAGCUCCGCGCGGCGCUCCUGUUUAGUGCGAAUCUGGUCGUUGCAACCAAAGCCCUAGCUUUGGAACUGGAAGCCUGGAGCGAAGGAUGGAGAGCCCGAAGCGGAAGCUUGACGACGAGUCCGGCGGCGAGGCGGCGGCGGCGGGGCUGCACCUGCUGCUGCACGAGAUGCUGCUCCGGGCUCGCCGGGAGGGGGAGGAGCCCGACCUGCUGCCGGACGAGCAGCUGCGCUCCAACGACCAGCUCCAGCAAGACGAGAUGCUGGCACUGGAGGCAAUUUAUGGAGACAAUAUAGGCAUUUUCAGUGCAAAGGCUGGUCUAUGGUGUUUCCAGGUCCAUGUGCACUGGGAAAUUCCUGAUGGUACCAGCAUAUCCACAGAGCUAUCCCAGGGUGAUAACCAUGACCAAAAUAGUUGAUUCUUUGACACAUUCAGUGUCCAGCACUUGGCUCCAAUUUCAUUGACAUGCCUUAUGCCUCCAUCAUACCCAAGCCAUCGCGCUCCAUACUUUACUCUCAGUUCACAGUGGUUGGAUGCCGUGAAAGUUUCCUCCCUUUGUCUCAUGCUGGACACAAUCUGGACACAGCAACUUGGACAGGAAGUUGUUUAUGCGUGGGUGCAAUGGCUGCAGAGCUCUGCGCUUUCUCAUCUUGGUUUUGAUGAUGGGAUACUCAUACAACAGCCUGGUAGUAUGAUGGGUCCUGUGGAUGUUCGUGCUGUUGCAGAGAUUGCGUCUGUAGAGUCUGUUGCACAAUGGUUAAUCAGCUACAAUGAGGAGCAAUGCCAUGAAUCUUUUCUAAGUGGCCUUCAUGACUGCAUGAUUUGUUUCACCGAGUACGGGGGUAUUGAUUUUAUUACACUUCCAUGCCAGCAUUACUUUUGUCGGAGGUGUAUGGAAACGUACUCAAGGAUGCAUGUCACAGAAGGAACAGUGCUGAAAUUGUUGUGUCCUAACGACAAGUGCGGGGGCAUCAUUCCUCCAAGUCUAUUAAAAAGGUUGCUAGGAGAUACAGAUUUUGAACGCUGGGAAAGAUUGAUACUUCAGAAGACUCUAGACUCAAUGUCAGACUUGGCUUACUGUCCAAGAUGUGGAGCAGCUUGCCUGGAAGACGAGGAGAACAAUGCCCAGUGCCCCAAGUGCUUCUUCAGCUUCUGCGCCCGCUGCAGAGAUCGCCGUCACAUAGGGGAGAAGUGCAUGACUAUAGAAGAAAAGCUAAAUUCCUUACAGGAUCGCACCGUGGUGCCUUUUUUAAGCAAAGACAGCUUUGCCAGUAAAAUGAACUUGUCAAAUGAAAUAUCCAGCAUCAAGGAAGUGCUCCGUUCUUCUGUUCGAUGUCCACAUUGUGGUACUGCCAUCUCCCGAGUAUCAGGCUGCAACCAUAUGUUAUGCAGUAACUGUAGGCAAUCGUUCUGCUAUGGCUGUGGCAAGGCAGAGAAUCAUGGCCAUUCAAGUGAGCCCUGCAGAUACCAGGAGAAUCUGGCAACGAAGAAGAAUCCAACCGUCCUCAUUGAGGAGGUGAAGAAAGAACUGGAGGGGGAACUGUCAAGACAGCAUCCGUGCCCAAAUUGUCGCCAACCAAAUCCUAAGAUGGGAAACAACAGCCAUAUGUUCUGCUGGGCAUGCCAGGUUCAUUACUGUGCGCAGUGCCACAGGAUGGUUCGGAAGAGCUCCGAGCAUUAUGGUCCCCGUGGAUGCAAGCAGCACAGUGUCGACCCUGAGAUCCCCCUCAGAUUCAAGGCAAACAAAAACGAUGACUCUGGUUCGUAACACUUCUGUGAUGAUCUGUUGGCAGAGAGCAUCGGUUUCGACUGUGGCGUAUUUCCUUCUAGAGCCGUUGCAUCAUUACGGUACAUGUUAUUACAUGCGGUUAAUAUUAUCCUAUGCAGUUUCAAGGAGCAACUUUGCACACAUAUUUUUGUUGUGGAAGAUUAGUAAACUGACGUAGAGGAUAAUCAGUUCGUGCAAAGCUUGCUGAAUUUUAAUCAAUCUUAUAA